Molecule: ribosomal RNA, 483 nt
Filed under: uncultured bacterium
Lineage: Bacteria
Description: partial 16S ribosomal RNA
Rfam family: Bacterial small subunit ribosomal RNA
Source: RNAcentral
AUUGAACGCUGGCGGCAGGCCUAACACAUGCAAGUCGAGCGGAUGAAGGGAGCUUGCUCCUGGAUUCAGCGGCGGACGGGUGAGUAAUGCCUAGGAAUCUGCCUGGUAGUGGGGGAUAACGUCCGGAAACGGGCGCUAAUACCGCAUACGUCCUGAGGGAGAAAGUGGGGGAUCUUCGGACCUCACGCUAUCAGAUGAGCCUAGGUCGGAUUAGCUAGUUGGUGGGGUAAAGGCCUACCAAGGCGACGAUCCGUAACUGGUCUGAGAGGAUGAUCAGUCAAACUGGAACUGGGAAACGGGCCAGACUCCUACGGGGGGCAGCAGUGGGGAAUAUUGGAAAAGGGGGGAAAGCCUGAUCCAGCCAUGGCGGGUGGGUGAAGAAGGUCUUCGGAUUGUAAAGCACUUUAAGUUGGGAGGAAGGGCAGUAAGUUAAUACCUGGCUUUUUUGACGUUACCAAAAGAAUAAGCCCCGGCUAAAUUCGU